This 1483-nucleotide long non-coding RNA is filed under the name Junco hyemalis (dark-eyed junco). Its description in RNAcentral is "lncRNA (ENSJHYG00000014090.1)". Lineage: Eukaryota; Metazoa; Chordata; Aves; Passeriformes; Passerellidae. The record is from RNAcentral.
GCGCGGGGGGCGGAGAGGGGACCCGGGAGCGUGCGAGUUCCCUUCCCGAGACACCUUCGCCCUCCCGCCGCAGCCCCCGCGGGAGGGGCAGCCCUGGCGGGGCGGGGGCGGGCGGCGCGGAGCCGGCGGAGCGGUGCGUGCGGCGGGCUGGGCACAUCCAAUAUGGCCCCUGCGCCGGGAGAAGCCAAUCCCGGGCGCGGUUACUCCGGAGGCUCCGGCGGAGGCCGGGCCGGGAUGCAGGGCAGGCCCCGGGCGGCGGCGGGGGGCGGGGGGAGCGGGGAUUUUCCCUGGGAAAGGGAAACUUGGCGCUCCGGCGCGAUUUGGCGAGGCGCUCACGCAGCCACUCCGGGCGCCCCGGCCGUGCCUCCGUGGGAGCGGGGCCGGCAGCGGGAAUGCCGCCUUGGCUCCGGGAAACCACGGGGGCGCGUUUGACACCGCGCUGGGGAUGGUGCUCGCCAGCCAAGGCUCUCCCUCUCUCUCCUUCUCUCUCUCUCCAGGCAGAGCCCGUGGGCUGGCAGCUCAGUUCGUCUGGCCCAGCGGUGGCAUCACCAGAUCUUCCAUUGAAAGCCAAGGGCUUGCAGGGAGAGCGAGGGGAAUUCCCGCCUGCAAAUGCAAAGGUGGAUGCCAGGCAGGACGAGUGUAGCCUCAGGGUCAAGCUACAGAGCUGUUACAGGACUCGGUUCCCCGUAGCAGGACAGCAGAGCAAAAAGCUUCAGGGGAGAGUUUCUAGCACAGCUGGAGUGAGAAGCCUUUUUGUGUCUUGCCUACAGCUUUAUCUACUUUGGCAAAUAAGUAGAGAAAAAAAAAAACGGAAAAAACCCCACUUUAGUUGAACAGUUACAUAACUCUUCUGAGCUGAUCUAAAGACUAAAUUAAGAAUUCUAGGAAUACAAGAAAAUUCCCAGUCAGGAUUAUAUACACUUGGAUAUUGUACCUGUGAGGACUACAGGCACAGGGGCCAUCAGAAAUCUCACCCUAAGUCUUCCAUUCCUUGCUAGCAGGGAACAUGGGAUAUACUUCUGGUUCUCUCCAACCUGUUGCUUCUAUCGUUAGAAUAUUAUUUAAAGCAAGUUUUGUCAUUAUAUUAAGUAUCAGAUUUGUUGUGUAUCUUAUAUGCUUGAUUAUAAUUCUAAUUCAUUAAUUGAUUACAGGAUUUCUAAAUAGUUUGUCUACUGAGAUUCUGUGGCUACAAGCAUAAGGUAGGGUCUUACUCAGCAUUAGUUUAGAAGACAAGCCUUUAAGCAAGCUACUUCAAUGUUUUGGCUUUACAGUACUUUUGUCUUUAUUCCUGUCUCUCAAUUCCUUCAUCACAAAAACUCCAGUCUUCCUCUCAAACUAUUCAGAAGACUAUUGUUAAUAUUUACACUAAACUUUGUUUUUACUUUCUUCUUUUAGCCAGCCCCAUAAUUUCCCUUUCUCUCAUUAGCAAUUAAAAAAAGUUUAAAAAAAUAAAUAUAGCUGUUGUGUUUUUUUUGGGUGGGGU